This is a microRNA precursor of Lepisosteus oculatus (spotted gar), 68 nucleotides long. It matches the Rfam family "mir-33 microRNA precursor family". The record is from Rfam. Lineage: Eukaryota; Metazoa; Chordata; Actinopteri; Semionotiformes; Lepisosteidae.
CUGUAGUGCAUUGUAGUUGCAUUGCAUGUAUCUGUGCUUCUGUGCAAUGCGCCUGCGGUGCAAUACAG